RNAcentral lists this ribosomal RNA (393 nucleotides) under uncultured bacterium. RNAcentral's name for it is "partial 16S ribosomal RNA". It matches the Rfam family "Bacterial small subunit ribosomal RNA", at positions 523 to 918 of the family's 1533-position model. The record is from RNAcentral.
AUACGGAAGGUCCGGGCGUUAUCCGGAUUUAUUGGGUUUAAAGGGAGCGCAGGCGGAGAUGCAAGCGUGACGUCAAAUUUCGGGGCUCAACCCCGUCUCGCGUCGCGAACUGCGUCCCUUGGUUGCGGGAAGGGGAGGCGGAACUCGUGGUGUAGCGGUGAAAUGUAUAGAUAUCACGAAGAACUCCGAUCGCGAAGGCAGCCUUCCGGCCCGUCAACGACGCUCAUGCUCGAAGGUGCGGGUAUCAAACAGGAUUAGAUACCCUGGUAGUCCGCACAGUAAACGAUGGACACCCGCGGUUUGGCCUGUAUGGCUGAGCCGCCAAGCGAAAGCGUUAAGUGUCCCACCUGGGGAGUACGCCGGCAACGGUGAAACUCAAAGGAAUUGACGGGG